This 370-nucleotide ribosomal RNA is filed under the name Rhizobium sp. 171R. Its description in RNAcentral is "bacterial SSU rRNA". It matches the Rfam family "Bacterial small subunit ribosomal RNA", at positions 975 to 1342 of the family's 1533-position model. The record is from RNAcentral. Lineage: Bacteria; Pseudomonadati; Pseudomonadota; Alphaproteobacteria; Hyphomicrobiales; Rhizobiaceae.
CAGCUCUUGACAUUCGGGGUAUGGGCAUUGGAGACGAUGUCCUUCAGUUAGGCUGGCCCCAGAACAGGUGCUGCAUGGCUGUCGUCAGCUCGUGUCGUGAGAUGUUGGGUUAAGUCCCGCAACGAGCGCAACCCUCGCCCUUAGUUGCCAGCAUUUAGUUGGGCACUCUAAGGGGACUGCCGGUGAUAAGCCGAGAGGAAGGUGGGGAUGACGUCAAGUCCUCAUGGCCCUUACGGGCUGGGCUACACACGUGCUACAAUGGUGGUGACAGUGGGCAGCGAGACAGCGAUGUCGAGCUAAUCUCCAAAAGCCAUCUCAGUUCGGAUUGCACUCUGCAACUCGAGUGCAUGAAGUUGGAAUCGCUAGUAAU